UCAAAAAUACAUAAUAUAUAAGUUUGAUCAUUGCUUUUUGGACAGGCUAUUUAUCUAGAAGAAGUUUUAAGAGAAGGCUUUUCACAUCCUGCUGUCAAUGGGAUAAUACUUUGGACAGCCCUCCGCCGAAACAGUUGUUAUCAAAUGUGCCUAACUGAUAAUGACUUCAAUAAUCUGCGGGCUGGUGACACCGUCGACAAGCUCCUAAAAGAGUGGCUGAUAAGUGUGUUUUCA
Molecule: long non-coding RNA, 234 nt
Filed under: Olea europaea subsp. europaea
Lineage: Eukaryota; Viridiplantae; Streptophyta; Magnoliopsida; Lamiales; Oleaceae
Source: RNAcentral